Molecule: ribosomal RNA, 223 nt
Filed under: uncultured bacterium
Lineage: Bacteria
Description: partial 16S ribosomal RNA
Rfam family: Bacterial small subunit ribosomal RNA
Source: RNAcentral
UGGGGGAAUAUUGCACAAUGGGCGAAAGCCUGAUGCAGCAACGCCGCGUGAGUGAUGAAGGUCUUCGGAUUGUAAAGCUCUGUCUUUUGGGACGAUAAUGACGGUACCAAAGGAGGAAGCCACGGCUAACUACGUGCCAGCAGCCGCGGUAAUACGUAGGUGGCGAGCGUUGUCCGGGAUUUACUGGGCGUAAGGGUGCGUAGGCGGAUGUUUAAGUGAGAUG